This 2713-nucleotide long non-coding RNA is filed under the name Sorghum bicolor (sorghum). RNAcentral describes it as "long non-coding RNA (SBIC_LNC010505)". The record is from RNAcentral. Lineage: Eukaryota; Viridiplantae; Streptophyta; Magnoliopsida; Poales; Poaceae.
GCCCGAUCUUCCGAAAGGUUCUGGUAACUAUCGAUUUGGUGGAAACGACACACAAAUCAAUCCAGCUUGCGAACAACACGGUUCGAAACCCUGCAAUUCUUUUUUUUUUGAUAUUUUCUUUUACUUAGGAGCACUCAAGAAGUAACCAUAGGAAAUUUGAGCUUAAACAAGUGAAAGACGUGGCCUGUGGAAUUUUUUGAAGAUUGCGAAAAAUAUAAAAAAAACUUUAGGAGGUGAAAACUCAAAUUUUAGGGGCGAAUUUGGAGAUUAUAAAAUUAUCGAACCCGCCUCUAGCGGAGAUAGACAGAUCCAAAAAUUUGUUUUGAUCAAUUUUGAUAUAUGGAACGUCAAAAUUGGAGUUCGUAUGCGAAAGUUAUGACUGUUUUACGAACGGACUCCGAAUUAGAGGACAAAACGGUCCGGAAGUGAGAAAAAUUUGCGGUGGUGGCUAGAAAUUGAUGGAAACGGUGGGAAAAAAACAUAAACUGGACUCUAACAAGACCAAAUCAGUAACAAGACCUCGACCAGGACACAAACUCAACACUACGGACUCUGAAACUGAAAUAUGCAAAGGUUAUGACGCGGAUGGGUUGUAGGACAUGAAAACAAUUUGGCACUAGACUUAUGGGACGAACACAAGGACACUCGAAACUAAGGGUACAUGUGAACCUAACUGUACGUCUGAAGCUUUGGUUACCACUUGAGAACAAGGCCCGAUCUUCCGAAAGGUUCUGGUAACUAUCAAUUUGGUGGAAACGAGACACAAAUCAUUCCAAUUUGCGAACAACACGAUUCGAAACCCUGCAAUUCUUUUUAUAUUUUUUGAUAUUUUUCUUUUACUUAGGAGCACUCAAGAAGUAACCACAGGAAAUUUGAGCUUAAACAAGUGAAGUACGUGGGCUGUGGAAUUUUUUGAGGAUUGCGAAAAAUAUGAAAAUAAUGUUUAGGAGGUGAAAACUCAAAAAUUCAGAGGUGAGUUUGGGAAUUGUAAAUUUGUUGCACCGCCUAUGGCGGGGAUAGACAGAUCCAAAAAUUUUAUCUGAUUGAUUUUGAUAUAUGGAACGUCAAAAUCGGAGUUCAUAUGCGAAAGUUAUGGCUGUUUUACGAACGGACUCCGAAUUAGAGGACAAAACGGUCUGGAAGUGGGAAAAAUUUGCGGUGGUGGCUAGAAAUUGAUGGAAACGGUGGGAAAAAACACACAAACUGGACUCUAACAAGACCAAAUCGGUAUCAAGACCUCGACCACGACACAAACUCAACACUACGGACUCUGAAACUGAAAUAUGCAAAGGUUAUGACGCGGAUGGGUUGUAGGACAUGAAAACAAUUUGGCACUAGACUUAUGGGACGAACACAAGGACACUCGAAACUAAGGGUACAUGUGAACCUAACUAUACGUCUGAAGCUUUGAUUACCACUUGAGGAGAACAAGGCCCGAUCUUCCGAAAGGUUCUGGUAACUAUCAAUUUGGUGGAAACGAAACACAAAACAUUCCAGUUUGCGAACAACACGAUUCGAAACCCUGCAAUUCUUUUUAUAUUUUUUGAUAUUUUUCUUUUCCUUAGGAGCACUCAAGAAGUAACCACAGGAAAUUUGAGCUUAAACAAGUGAAGUACGUGACCUGUGGAAUUUUUUGAAGAUUGCGAAAAAUAUAAAAAUAAAGUUUAGGAGGUGAAAACUCAAAAUUUCAGAGGCGAAUUUGGGGAUUCUAAAUUUAUCGAACCCGCCCAGGGCGGGGAUAGACAGACCCAAAAUUUUUUUCUAAUUGAUUUUGAUAUAUGGAAUGAUAAAAUCGGAGUUCGUAGGCGAAAGUUAUGGCUGUUUUACAAACGGACUCCGAAUUAGAGGACAAAACGGUCCGGAAGUGGGAAAAAUUUGCGGUGGUGGCUAGAAAUUGAUGGAAACGGUGGGAAAAAACACACAAACUGGACUCGAACAAGACCUAACCAGUAACAAGACCUCAACCAGGACACAAACUCAAAACUACGGAUUCUGAAACUGAAAUAUGCAAAGGCUAUGGCGCGGAUGGGUUGUAGGACAUGAAAACAAUAUGACACUAGACUUAUGAGACGAACACAAGGACACUCGAAACUAAGGGUAGAUGUGAACCUAACGGUAUGUGUGAUGCUUUGAUUACCACUUGAGGAGAACAAGUCUGGCCCGAUCUUCCGAAAGGUUCUGGUAACUAUCGAUUUGGUGGAAACGACACACAAAUCAAUCCAGCUUGCGAACAACACGGUUCGAAACCCUGCAAUUCUUUUUAUUUUUUUUUUGAUAUUUUUCUUUUACUUAGGAGCACUCAAGAAGUAACCACAAGAAAUUUGAGCUUAAACAAGUGAAAGACGUGGCCUGUGGAAUUUUUUGAAGAUUGUGAAAAAUAUAAAAAAACUUUAGGAGGUGAAAACUCGAAGUUCAGGGGCGAAGUUUGGGAUUCUAAAAUUAUCGAACCCGCCUCUAGCAGAGAUAAACAGAUCCAAAAAUUUGUUCUGAUCGAUUUUGAUAUAUGGAACGUCCAAAUCGGAGUUCGUAUGCGAAAGUUAUGCCUGUUUUACGAACGGACUCCGAAUUAGAGGACAAAACGGUCCGGAAGUGGGAAUAAUUUGCGAUGGUGGCUAGAAAUUGACGGAAACGGUGGGAAAAACACACAAACUGGACUCUAACAAGACCAAAUUGGUAACAAGACCUCGACCACGAUACAAACUCAACACUACGA